Molecule: ribosomal RNA, 254 nt
Filed under: uncultured bacterium
Lineage: Bacteria
Description: partial 16S ribosomal RNA
Rfam family: Bacterial small subunit ribosomal RNA
Source: RNAcentral
UACGGGGGGAGCAAGCGUUGUUCGGAUUUACUGGGCGUAAAGGGCGCGUAGGCGGCCACCGCAAGUCGGUUGUGAAAUCUCCGGGCUUAACCCGGGAAGGUCAAUCGAUACUGCGGGGCUAGAGUGCAGAAGGGGCAACUGGAAUUCUCGGUGUAGCGGUGAAAUGCGUAGAUAUCGAGAGGAACACCUGCGGCGAAGGCGGGUUGCUGGGCUGACACUGACGCUGAAGCGCGAAAGCUAGGGGAGCGAACGGG